UAACGCGUGAGGAACCUGCCUCAAAGAGGGGGGCAACAGUUGGAAACGACUGCUAAUACCGCAUAAGCCCACGGUGCCGCAUGGCACAGAGGGAAAAGGAGCAAUCCGCUUUGAGAUGGCCUCGCGUCCGAUUAGCUAGUUGGUGAGGUAAUGGCCCACCAAGGCGACGAUCGGUAGCCGGACUGAGAGGUUGAACGGCCACAUUGGGACUGAGACACGGCCCAG
RNAcentral lists this ribosomal RNA (225 nucleotides) under uncultured bacterium. RNAcentral describes it as "partial 16S ribosomal RNA". It matches the Rfam family "Bacterial small subunit ribosomal RNA", at positions 111 to 334 of the family's 1533-position model. The record is from RNAcentral.